Molecule: long non-coding RNA, 210 nt
Organism: Numida meleagris (helmeted guineafowl)
Lineage: Eukaryota; Metazoa; Chordata; Aves; Galliformes; Numididae
Exons: 2
Source: RefSeq, a predicted model, not a curated record
CCUGGUGAAGGGGCAUGGACAGCCCUGGGAGCACAGGUGCAAGCAACUCACCUAACCUCACUUGAGGGCUGGCAGCAGAAAGGGACACAUCUCUAUAUGGGGAUUGCCUCCUUUGGGAGUUUCUGACAAGCCCUAAUCCUUGGAAAGGGACAAUUAGGGAGAGGAAGUGCUGGAGAGGAAACUUACGAAAAUCUCAUGAGUGAGAAAAUG